CAGUAGCCGCGGUAAUACGUAGGGUGCGAGCGUUAAUCGGAAUUACUGGGCGUAAAGCGUGCGCAGGCGGUUUUGUAAGACAGGCGUGAAAUCCCCGGGCUCAACCUGGGAAUGGCGCUUGUGACUGCAAAGCUAGAGUGCGGCAGAGGGGGAUGGAAUUCCGCGUGUAGCAGUGAAAUGCGUAGAUAUGCGGAGGAACACCGAUGGCGAAGGCAAUCCCCUGGGCCUGCACUGACGCUCAUGCACGAAAGCGUGGGGAGCAAACAGGAUUAGAUACCCCUGAGUCCCGUCUCUUAUACAC
RNAcentral lists this ribosomal RNA (301 nucleotides) under uncultured bacterium. RNAcentral's name for it is "partial 16S ribosomal RNA". It matches the Rfam family "Bacterial small subunit ribosomal RNA", at positions 509 to 809 of the family's 1533-position model. The record is from RNAcentral.